GCAGUGGUAGUUCAGUGGUGGGAAUCUUGCCUUCCAUGUGGAGACCCAGGUUCGAUUCCAGGCCAGUGCA
Molecule: transfer RNA, 70 nt
Filed under: Loxodonta africana (African savanna elephant)
Lineage: Eukaryota; Metazoa; Chordata; Mammalia; Proboscidea; Elephantidae
Rfam family: tRNA
About the family: Transfer RNA (tRNA) molecules are approximately 80 nucleotides in length.
Source: Rfam by way of RNAcentral